This 497-nucleotide ribosomal RNA is filed under the name uncultured bacterium. RNAcentral describes it as "partial 16S ribosomal RNA". It matches the Rfam family "Bacterial small subunit ribosomal RNA", at positions 28 to 507 of the family's 1533-position model. The record is from RNAcentral.
GAUGAACGCUGGCGGCGUGCCUAAUACAUGCAAGUCGAGCGAACAGACGAGGAGCUUGCUCCUCUGACGUUAGCGGCGGACGGGUGAGUAACACGUGGAUAACCUACCUAUAAGACUGGGAUAACUUCGGGAAACCGGAGCUAAUACCGGAUAAUAUAUUGAACCGCAUGGUUCAAUAGUGAAAGAGGGUUUUGCUGUCACUUAUAGAUGGAUCCGCGCCGCAUUAGCUAGUUGGUAAGGUAACGGCUUACCAAGGCUACGAUGCGUAGCCGACCUGAGAGGGUGAUCGGCCACACUGGAACUGAGACACGGUCCAGACUCCUACGGGAGGCAGCAGUAGGGAAUCUUCCACAAUGGGCGAAAGCCUGACGGAGCAACGCCGCGUGAGUGAUGAAGGUCUUCGGAUCGUAAAACUCUGUUAUUAGGGAAGAACAAAUGUGUAAGUAACUAUGCACGUCUUGACGGUACCUAAUCAGAAAGCCACGGCUAACUACGUG